RNAcentral lists this ribosomal RNA (623 nucleotides) under Escherichia coli. RNAcentral's name for it is "bacterial SSU rRNA". It matches the Rfam family "Bacterial small subunit ribosomal RNA", at positions 55 to 668 of the family's 1533-position model. Lineage: Bacteria; Pseudomonadati; Pseudomonadota; Gammaproteobacteria; Enterobacterales; Enterobacteriaceae. The record is from RNAcentral.
AUGCAGUCGAACGGUAACAGGAAGCAGCUUGCUGCUUCGCUGACGAGUGGCGGACGGGUGAGUAAUGUCUGGGAAACUGCCUGAUGGAGGGGGAUAACUACUGGAAACGGUAGCUAAUACCGCAUAACGUCGCAAGACCAAAGAGGGGGACCUUCGGGCCUCUUGCCAUCGGAUGUGCCCAGAUGGGAUUAGCUUGUUGGUGGGGUAACGGCUCACCAAGGCGACGAUCCCUAGCUGGUCUGAGAGGAUGACCAGCCACACUGGAACUGAGACACGGUCCAGACUCCUACGGGAGGCAGCAGUGGGGAAUAUUGCACAAUGGGCGCAAGCCUGAUGCAGCCAUGCCGCGUGUAUGAAGAAGGCCUUCGGGUUGUAAAGUACUUUCAGCGGGGAGGAAGGGAGUAAAGUUAAUACCUUUGCUCAUUGACGUUACCCGCAGAAGAAGCACCGGCUAACUCCGUGCCAGCAGCCGCGGUAAUACGGAGGGUGCAAGCGUUAAUCGGAAUUACUGGGCGUAAAGCGCACGCAGGCGGUUUGUUAAGUCAGAUGUGAAAUCCCCGGGCUCAACCUGGGAACUGCAUCUGAUACUGGCAAGCUUGAGUCUCGUAGAGGGGGGUAGAAUU